This 424-nucleotide ribosomal RNA is filed under the name uncultured bacterium. RNAcentral's name for it is "bacterial SSU rRNA". It matches the Rfam family "Bacterial small subunit ribosomal RNA", at positions 355 to 771 of the family's 1533-position model. The record is from RNAcentral.
UGGGGAAUAUUGGACAAUGGGGGAAACCCUGAUCCAGCGACGCCGCGUGGGUGAAGAAGGCCUGCGGGUUGUAAAGCCCUUUCGGUGGGGAAGAAAAGCCUCGACCUAAUACGUCGGGGUCUUGACGUAACCCACAGAAGAAGCACCGGCUAACUCUGUGCCAGCAGCCGCGGUAAUACAGAGGGUGCGAGCGUUAAUCGGAAUUACUGGGCGUAAAGCGCACGUAGGCGGCUUUGCAAGUCGGGUGUGAAAUCCCCGGGCUCAACCUGGGAACUGCAUUCGAGACUGCAUUGCUCGAGUAUGGGAGAGGGAAGUGGAAUUUCCGGUGUAGCGGUGAAAUGCGUAGAUAUCGGAAGGAACACCAGUGGCGAAAGCGACUUCCUGGACCAAUACUGACGCUGAGACGCGAAAGCGUGGGGAGCAA